AGAGUUUGAUCAUGGCUCAGAUUGAACGCUGGCGGCAGGCCUAACACAUGCAAGUCGAACGGUAACAGGAUGUGCUUGCACAUCGCUGACGAGUGGCGGACGGGUGAGUAAUGCUUGGGAACUUGCCUUUGCGAGGGGGAUAACAGUUGGAAACGACUGCUAAUACCGCAUAAUGUCUUCGGACCAAACGGGGCUUCGGCUCCGGCGCAAAGAGAGGCCCAAGUGAGAUUAGCUAGUUGGUAAGGUAACGGCUUACCAAGGCGACGAUCUCUAGCUGUUCUGAGAGGAAGAUCAGCCACACUGGGACUGAGACACGGCCCAGACUCCUACGGGAGGCAGCAGUGGGGAAUAUUGCACAAUGGGGGAAACCCUGAUGCAGCCAUGCCGCGUGUGUGAAGAAGGCCUUCGGGUUGUAAAGCACUUUCAGUUGUGAGGAAAAGUUAGUAGUUAAUACCUGCUAGCCGUGACGUUAACAACAGAAGAAGCACCGGCUAACUCCGUGCCAGCAGCCGCGGUAAUACGGAGGGUGCGAGCGUUAAUCGGAAUUACUGGGCGUAAAGCGCACGCAGGCGGUUUGUUAAGCUAGAUGUGAAAGCCCCGGGCUCAACCUGGGAUGGUCAUUUAGAACUGGCAGACUAGAGUCUUGGAGAGGGGAGUGGAAUUCCAGGUGUAGCGGUGAAAUGCGUAGAUAUCUGGAGGAACAUCAGUGGCGAAGGCGACUCCCUGGCCAAAGACUGACGCUCAUGUGCGAAAGU
Molecule: ribosomal RNA, 755 nt
Filed under: uncultured bacterium
Lineage: Bacteria
Description: bacterial SSU rRNA
Rfam family: Bacterial small subunit ribosomal RNA
Source: RNAcentral